This 422-nucleotide ribosomal RNA is filed under the name uncultured bacterium. Its description in RNAcentral is "partial 16S ribosomal RNA". It matches the Rfam family "Bacterial small subunit ribosomal RNA", at positions 360 to 774 of the family's 1533-position model. The record is from RNAcentral.
AAUAUUGGACAAUGGGGGCAACCCUGAUCCAGCCAUGCCGCGUGUGUGAAGAAGGUCUUCGGAUUGUAAAGCACUUUAAGUUGGGAGGAAGGGCUUUAGGCUAAUACCAUGAAGUUUUGACGUUACCAACAGAAUAAGCACCGGCUAACUCUGUGCCAGCAGCCGGGGUAAUACAGAGGGUGCAAGCGUUAAUCGGAAUUACUGGGCGUAAAACGCGCGUUGGUUGUUCAGUAAGAAGGAAGUGAAAUACCCGGGCUUAACCUGGGAAAUGGUUUCAUAACUGAUGGGCUAGAGUAAGGUAGAGGGUAGUGGAAUUUCCUGUGUAGCGGUGAAAUGCGUAGAUAUAGGAAGGAACACCAGUGGCGAAGGCGACUACCUGGACUGAUACUGACACUGAGGUGCGAAAGCGUGGGGAGCAAACA